CCUACGGGCGGCAGCAGUGGGGAAUAUUGGACAAUGGGGGCAACCCUGAUCCAGCCAUGCCGCGUGUGUGAAGAAGGCCCUCGGGUUGUAAAGCACUUUCAGUGAGGAAGAACGCCUGGUGGUUAAUACCCAUCAGGAAAGACAUCACUCACAGAAGAAGCACCGGCUAACUCCGUGCCAGCAGCCGCGGUAAUACGGAGGGUGCGAGCGUUAAUCGGAAUUACUGGGCGUAAAGCGCGCGUAGGUGGCUUGAUAAGCCGGUUGUGAAAGCCCCGGGCUCAACCUGGGAACGGCAUCCGGAACUGUCAAGCUAGAGUGCAGGAGAGGAAGGUAGAAUUCCCGGUGUAGCGGUGAAGUGCGUAGAGAUCGGGAGGAAUACCAGUGGCGAAGGCGGCCUUCUGGACUGACACUGACACUGAGGUGCGAAAGCGUGGGUAGCAAACAGGAUUAGAUACCCCGGUAGUC
Molecule: ribosomal RNA, 465 nt
Filed under: Vreelandella stevensii
Lineage: Bacteria; Pseudomonadati; Pseudomonadota; Gammaproteobacteria; Oceanospirillales; Halomonadaceae
Description: partial 16S ribosomal RNA
Rfam family: Bacterial small subunit ribosomal RNA
Source: RNAcentral